UUGACCUCGGAUCAGGUAGGGAUACCCGCUGAACUUAAGCAUAUCUAGA
This 49-nucleotide ribosomal RNA is filed under the name Bipolaris maydis (southern corn leaf blight pathogen). RNAcentral's name for it is "partial 28S ribosomal RNA". Lineage: Eukaryota; Fungi; Ascomycota; Dothideomycetes; Pleosporales; Pleosporaceae. The record is from RNAcentral.